Molecule: ribosomal RNA, 497 nt
Filed under: uncultured bacterium
Lineage: Bacteria
Description: partial 16S ribosomal RNA
Rfam family: Bacterial small subunit ribosomal RNA
Source: RNAcentral
GAUGAACGCUGGCGGCGUGCCUAAUACAUGCAAGUCGAGCGAACAGACGAGGAGCUUGCUCCUCUGACGUUAGCGGCGGACGGGUGAGUAACACGUGGAUAACCUACCUAUAAGACUGGGAUAACUUCGGGAAACCGGAGCUAAUACCGGAUAAUAUAUUGAACCGCAUGGUUCAAUAGUGAAAGACGGUUUUGCUGUCUCUUAUAGAUGGAUCCCCGCCGCAUUAGCUAGUUGGUAAGGUAACGGCUUACCAAGGCAACGAUGCGUAGCCGACCUGAGAGGGUGAUCGGCCACACUGGAACUGAGACACGGUCCAGACUCCUGCGGGAGGCAGCAGUAGGGAAUCGUCCGCAAUGGGCGAAAGCCUGACAGAGCAACGCCGCGUGAGUGAUGAAGGUCUUCGGAUCGUAAAACUCUGUUAUUAGGGAAGAACAAAUGUGUAAGUAACUAUGCACGUCUUGACGGUACCUAAUCAGAAAGCCACGGCUAACUACGUG